AGCAGUAGCCACGGUAAUACAGAGGGUGCGAGCGUUAAUCGGAUUUACUGGGCGUAAAGCGUGCGUAGGCGGCUUUUUAAGUCGGAUGUGAAAUCCCUGAGCUUAACUUAGGAAUUGCAUUCGAUACUGGGAAGCUAGAGUAUGGGAGAGGAUGGUAGAAUUCCAGGUGUAGCGGUGAAAUGCGUAGAGAUCUGGAGGAAUACCGAUGGCGAAGGCAGCCAUCUGGCCUAAUACUGACGCUGAGGUACGAAAGCAUGGGGAGCAAACAGGAUUAGAGACCCGGGUAGUCCCUGUCUCUUAUAC
This 303-nucleotide ribosomal RNA is filed under the name uncultured bacterium. RNAcentral's name for it is "partial 16S ribosomal RNA". It matches the Rfam family "Bacterial small subunit ribosomal RNA", at positions 507 to 807 of the family's 1533-position model. The record is from RNAcentral.